Molecule: ribosomal RNA, 253 nt
Filed under: uncultured bacterium
Lineage: Bacteria
Description: partial 16S ribosomal RNA
Rfam family: Bacterial small subunit ribosomal RNA
Source: RNAcentral
GACGUAGGGCGCGAGCGUUGUCCGGAUUUAUUGGGCGUAAAGAGCUCGUAGGCGGCUUGUCGCGUCGUUCGUGAAAACCCGGGGCUCAACUCCGGGCUUGCGGGCGAUACGGGCAGGCUAGAGUACGGUAGGGGAGACUGGAAUUUACGGUGUAGCAGUGAAAUGCGUAGAGAUCGUAAGGAAGGCCAGUGGCGAAGGCGAGUUCCUGGACAGUGACUGACGCUGAGGCACGAAGGCCAGGGGAGCAAACGGG